RNAcentral lists this ribosomal RNA (2903 nucleotides) under Enterobacter hormaechei. RNAcentral describes it as "23S ribosomal RNA". It matches the Rfam family "Bacterial large subunit ribosomal RNA". The record is from RNAcentral. Lineage: Bacteria; Pseudomonadati; Pseudomonadota; Gammaproteobacteria; Enterobacterales; Enterobacteriaceae.
UUAAGCGACUAAGCGUACACGGUGGAUGCCCUGGCAGUCAGAGGCGAUGAAGGACGUGCUAAUCUGCGAAAAGCGCCGGCGAGGUGAUAUGAACCCUUGACCCGGCGAUGUCCGAAUGGGGAAACCCAGUGCAAUCCGUUGCACUAUCGUUAACUGAAUACAUAGGUUAACGAGGCGAACCGGGGGAACUGAAACAUCUAAGUACCCCGAGGAAAAGAAAUCAACCGAGAUUCCCCCAGUAGCGGCGAGCGAACGGGGAGCAGCCCGGAGUCUGAAUCAGCUUGUGUGUUAGUGGAACGGUCUGGAAAGUCCGACGGUACAGGGUGAUAGUCCCGUACACGAAAGCACACUUGCUGUGAACUCGAAGAGUAGGGCGGGACACGUGGUAUCCUGUCUGAAUAUGGGGGGACCAUCCUCCAAGGCUAAAUACUCCUGACUGACCGAUAGUGAACCAGUACCGUGAGGGAAAGGCGAAAAGAACCCCGGCGAGGGGAGUGAAAAAGAACCUGAAACCGUGUACGUACAAGCAGUGGGAGCCUCUUUAUGGGGUGACUGCGUACCUUUUGUAUAAUGGGUCAGCGACUUAUAUUCUGUAGCAAGGUUAACCGUAUAGGGGAGCCGAAGGGAAACCGAGUCUUAACUGGGCGUUAAGUUGCAGGGUAUAGACCCGAAACCCGGUGAUCUAGCCAUGGGCAGGUUGAAGGUUGGGUAACACUAACUGGAGGACCGAACCGACUAAUGUUGAAAAAUUAGCGGAUGACCUGUGGCUGGGGGUGAAAGGCCAAUCAAACCGGGAGAUAGCUGGUUCUCCCCGAAAGCUAUUUAGGUAGCGCCUCGUGAACUCAUCUUCGGGGGUAGAGCACUGUUUCGGCUAGGGGGCCAUCCCGGCUUACCAACCCGAUGCAAACUACGAAUACCGAAGAAUGUUAUCACGGGAGACACACGGCGGGUGCUAACGUCCGUCGUGAAGAGGGAAACAACCCAGACCGCCAGCUAAGGUCCCAAAGUCAUGGUUAAGUGGGAAACGAUGUGGGAAGGCACAGACAGCCAGGAUGUUGGCUUAGAAGCAGCCAUCAUUUAAAGAAAGCGUAAUAGCUCACUGGUCGAGUCGGCCUGCGCGGAAGAUGUAACGGGGCUAAACCAUGCACCGAAGCUGCGGCAGCGACGCUUAUGCGUUGUUGGGUAGGGGAGCGUUCUGUAAGCCGUUGAAGGUGUGCUGUGAGGCAUGCUGGAGGUAUCAGAAGUGCGAAUGCUGACAUAAGUAACGAUAAAGCGGGUGAAAAGCCCGCUCGCCGGAAGACCAAGGGUUCCUGUCCAACGUUAAUCGGGGCAGGGUGAGUCGACCCCUAAGGCGAGGCCGAAAGGCGUAGUCGAUGGGAAACAGGUUAAUAUUCCUGUACUUGGUGUUACUGCGAAGGGGGGACGGAGAAGGCUAUGUCAGCCGGGCGACGGUUGUCCCGGUUUAAGCAUGUAGGCGGAGGUUCCAGGUAAAUCCGGUACCUUAUUAACGCUGAGGUGUGAUGACGAGGCACUACGGUGCUGAAGUGAUAAAUGCCCUGCUUCCAGGAAAAGCCUCUAAGCAUCAGGUAACACGAAAUCGUACCCCAAACCGACACAGGUGGUCAGGUAGAGAAUACCAAGGCGCUUGAGAGAACUCGGGUGAAGGAACUAGGCAAAAUGGUGCCGUAACUUCGGGAGAAGGCACGCUGAUGUGUAGGUGAAGCCCCUGCGGGCGGAGCUGAAAUCAGUCGAAGAUACCAGCUGGCUGCAACUGUUUAUUAAAAACACAGCACUGUGCAAACACGAAAGUGGACGUAUACGGUGUGACGCCUGCCCGGUGCCGGAAGGUUAAUUGAUGGGGUUAGCGGCAACGCGAAGCUCUUGAUCGAAGCCCCGGUAAACGGCGGCCGUAACUAUAACGGUCCUAAGGUAGCGAAAUUCCUUGUCGGGUAAGUUCCGACCUGCACGAAUGGCGUAAUGAUGGCCAGGCUGUCUCCACCCGAGACUCAGUGAAAUUGAACUCGCUGUGAAGAUGCAGUGUACCCGCGGCAAGACGGAAAGACCCCGUGAACCUUUACUAUAGCUUGACACUGAACACUGGUCCUUGAUGUGUAGGAUAGGUGGGAGGCUUUGAAGCGUGGACGCCAGUCUGCGUGGAGCCAACCUUGAAAUACCACCCUUUAAUGGCUGGUGUUCUAACGUAGACCCGUAAUCCGGGUUGCGGACAGUGUCUGGUGGGUAGUUUGACUGGGGCGGUCUCCUCCCAAAGAGUAACGGAGGAGCACGAAGGUUGGCUAAUCCUGGUCGGACAUCAGGAGGUUAGUGCAAUGGCAUAAGCCAGCUUGACUGCGAGCGUGACGGCGCGAGCAGGUGCGAAAGCAGGUCAUAGUGAUCCGGUGGUUCUGAAUGGAAGGGCCAUCGCUCAACGGAUAAAAGGUACUCCGGGGAUAACAGGCUGAUACCGCCCAAGAGUUCAUAUCGACGGCGGUGUUUGGCACCUCGAUGUCGGCUCAUCACAUCCUGGGGCUGAAGUAGGUCCCAAGGGUAUGGCUGUUCGCCAUUUAAAGUGGUACGCGAGCUGGGUUUAGAACGUCGUGAGACAGUUCGGUCCCUAUCUGCCGUGGGCGCUGGAGAAUUGAGGGGGGCUGCUCCUAGUACGAGAGGACCGGAGUGGACGCAUCACUGGUGUUCGGGUUGUCAUGCCAAUGGCACUGCCCGGUAGCUAAAUGCGGAAGAGAUAAGUGCUGAAAGCAUCUAAGCACGAAACUUGCCCCGAGAUGAGUUCUCCCUGAGACUUUAAGUCUCCUGAAGGAACGUUGAAGACGACGACGUUGAUAGGUCGGGUGUGUAAGCGCAGCGAUGCGUUGAGCUAACCGAUACUAAUGAACCGUGAGGCUUAACCU